AUGGUUUACUGGCAGUAAAUCUGGAGAGGAAAAGGAUUAGACCGGAUCUUGUGUUACGGUUACAAAUUGAAGAAAAAAAGCUUAGGCUUCUCGAUUUACAGGCACGCUUAAGAGAUGAAGUAGAUCAACAACAGCAGGAGAUAAUGGCAAUGCCUGACAGGCCAUAUCGGAAGUUUGUUCGGUUAUGUGAGCGUCAACGGAUGGAGCAAGCAAGACAAGUACAGGCCUCUCAAAAAGCCAUGAGAGAUAAACAAUUGAAAUCCAUCUUCCAGUGGCGUAAGAAACUUCUUGAGGCUCAUUGGGCCA
Molecule: unclassified non-coding RNA, 306 nt
Filed under: Hevea brasiliensis (rubber tree)
Lineage: Eukaryota; Viridiplantae; Streptophyta; Magnoliopsida; Malpighiales; Euphorbiaceae
Source: RNAcentral